RNAcentral lists this ribosomal RNA (497 nucleotides) under uncultured bacterium. RNAcentral describes it as "partial 16S ribosomal RNA". It matches the Rfam family "Bacterial small subunit ribosomal RNA", at positions 28 to 507 of the family's 1533-position model. The record is from RNAcentral.
GAUGAACGCUGGCGGCGUGCCUAAUACAUGCAAGUCGAGCGAACGGACGAGAAGCUUGCUUCUCUGAUGUUAGCGGCGGACGGGUGAGUAACACGUGGAUAACCUACCUAUAAGACUGGGAUAACUUCGGGAAACCGGAGCUAAUACCGGAUAAUAUUUUGAACCGCAUGGUUCAAAAGUGAAAGACGGUCUUGCUGUCACUUAUAGAUGGAUCCGCGCUGCAUUAGCUAGUUGGUAAGGUAACGGCUUACCAAGGCAACGAUGCAUAGCCGACCUGAGAGGGUGAUCGGCCACACUGGAACUGAGACACGGUCCAGACUCCUACGGGAGGCAGCAGUAGGGAAUCUUCCGCAAUGGGCGAAAGCCUGACGGAGCAACGCCGCGUGAGUGAUGAAGGUCUUCGGAUCGUAAAACUCUGUUAUUAGGGAAGAACAUAUGUGUAAGUAACUGUGCACAACUUGACGGUACCUAAUCAGAAAGCCACGGCUAGCUACGUG